Molecule: RNase P RNA, 259 nt
Filed under: Pseudomonadota bacterium
Lineage: Bacteria; Pseudomonadati; Pseudomonadota
Description: partial RNase P RNA component class A
Rfam family: Bacterial RNase P class A
About the family: Ribonuclease P (RNase P) is a ubiquitous endoribonuclease, found in archaea, bacteria and eukarya as well as chloroplasts and mitochondria.
Source: RNAcentral
GAUACCGCCUAAGUACCGCGCAAGCGGUACCGGUAAGGGUGAAAUGGUGCGGUAAGAGCGCACCGCGCGGGUGGCAACAUCAGCGGCACGGCAAACCCCACCUGAAGCAAGACCAAAUAGGGAAGCAAGCGGCGCUUUUUGGCCGCAGUGUGUGGCCCACAUAUAGGCUUCCGGGUAGGUCGCUAGAGGUGCGCGGCGACGCGCAUCCCAGAGGAAUGACUGCCCACGACAGAACCCGGCUUAACGGCCGACUCCUUUC